Molecule: non-coding RNA, 76 nt
Organism: Sciurus carolinensis (gray squirrel)
Lineage: Eukaryota; Metazoa; Chordata; Mammalia; Rodentia; Sciuridae
Source: the annotation of a RefSeq genome assembly
GUCAGGAUGGCCGAGUGGUCUAAGGCACCAGACUCAAGUUCUGGUCUUCGAAUGGGUUCGAAUCCCACUUCUGACA